This 85-nucleotide transfer RNA is filed under the name Felis catus (domestic cat). It matches the Rfam family "tRNA". From Rfam's summary of the family: Transfer RNA (tRNA) molecules are approximately 80 nucleotides in length. Lineage: Eukaryota; Metazoa; Chordata; Mammalia; Carnivora; Felidae. The record is from Rfam by way of RNAcentral.
GCCUGGGUGGCUUAGUCAGUUAAGCAUCUGACUUCGGCUCAGGUCCUGAUCUCACGGUUCGUGAGUUCGAGCCCCGCGUCAGGCU